UCAGGAAUCUUGGACAAUGGACGAAAGUCUGAUCCAGCGACGCCGCGUGGAGGAUGAAGGUCUUCGGAUUGUAAACUCCUUUUAUCAGAGAACAAAGUAUGAGUAUCUGAUGAAUAAGCGACUCCUAACUUCGUGCCAGCAGGAGCGGUGAUACGAAGGUCGCAAGCGUUAUCCGGAAUUACUGGGCGUAAAGAGAUGCGUAGGCUUUUGAUCAAGUUGAUUGUUAAAUCUCUGGGCUUAACCCAGAAACCGCAAUCAAUACUGGUUAAAUCGAGAUAAGCAGAGGAGGCAGGAAUUUCUGGUGGAGCAGUUAAAUGCGUUGAUAUCAGAAGGAACACCAAUGGCGUAGGCAUGCCUCUGGGCUUUAUCUGACGCUAAGGCUCGAAAGCGUGGGGAGCAAAACGG
RNAcentral lists this ribosomal RNA (405 nucleotides) under uncultured bacterium. RNAcentral's name for it is "bacterial SSU rRNA". It matches the Rfam family "Bacterial small subunit ribosomal RNA", at positions 355 to 776 of the family's 1533-position model. The record is from RNAcentral.